Molecule: microRNA, 21 nt
Filed under: Medicago truncatula (barrel medic)
Lineage: Eukaryota; Viridiplantae; Streptophyta; Magnoliopsida; Fabales; Fabaceae
Description: mtr-miR2624
Source: miRBase by way of RNAcentral
CGAAAGACGAGGUUGCCGGCU